This 857-nucleotide small RNA is filed under the name Histoplasma capsulatum. Its description in RNAcentral is "hypothetical RNA". RNAcentral also lists the same sequence under 1 other name. The record is from RNAcentral. Lineage: Eukaryota; Fungi; Ascomycota; Eurotiomycetes; Onygenales; Ajellomycetaceae.
AUGCCGCUGCCAACCUAUCUAUCGCUGCUAAUCUAUCGCUGCUGCCAACCUAUCUACCGCUGCCAACCUACCUAUCGCUGCCAAUCUAUCUACCACUGCUAAUCUAUCGCUGCUAAUCUAUCGCUGCUAAUCUAUUGCUGCUAAUCUAUCUAUCACUGCUAAUCUAUCGCUGCCAACCUACCUACCGCUGCCAACCUAUCUACCACUGCCAAUCUACCUACCGCUGCCAACCUACCUACCACUGCUAAUCUAUCACUGCUAAUCUAUCGCUGCUAAUCUAUUGCUGCUAAUCUAUCGCUGCUAAUCUAUUGCUGCUAAUCUAUCUAUCACUGCUAAUCUAUCGCUGCCAACCUACCUACCGCUGCCAAUCUACCUACCGCUGCCAACCUACCUACCACUGCUAAUCUAUCACUGCUAAUCUAUCGCUGCUAAUCUAUUGCUGCUAAUCUAUCGCUGCUAAUCUAUUGCUGCUAAUCUAUCUAUCACUGCUAAUCUAUCGCUGCCAACCUACCUACCGCUGCCAACCUAUCUACCACUGCCAAUCUACCUACCGCUGCCAACCUACCUACCACUGCUAAUCUAUCACUGCUAAUCUAUCGCUGCUAAUCUAUUGCUGCUAAUCUAUCGCUGCUAAUCUAUUGCUGCUAAUCUAUCUAUCACUGCUAAUCUAUCGCUGCCAACCUACCUACCGCUGCCAACCUACCUACCGCUGCCAACCUACCUACCACUGCUAAUCUAUCACUGCUAAUCUAUCGCUGCCAACCUAUAUAGGGUAAAUCAUGGUCCCAUUUGGUCCCAUUUUGUAAAAUGGGACCAAAUGGGACUGGGACCACUAAUUUAUUAGUAAAACAUGAUCU